This 93-nucleotide transfer RNA is filed under the name Clostridium sp. RNAcentral describes it as "tRNA-Ser". It matches the Rfam family "tRNA". From Rfam's summary of the family: Transfer RNA (tRNA) molecules are approximately 80 nucleotides in length. Their secondary structure includes four short double-helical elements and three loops (D, anti-codon, and T loops). RNAcentral also lists the same sequence under 1 other name. Lineage: Bacteria; Bacillati; Bacillota; Clostridia; Eubacteriales; Clostridiaceae. The record is from RNAcentral.
GGAGAGAUGUCCGAGUGGCCGAAGGUGGCGGUCUCGAAAACCGCUGUACGGGCAUAACCCGUACCGAGGGUUCAAAUCCCUCUCUCUCCGCCA